GAUGAACGCUAGCUACAGGCUUAACACAUGCAAGUCGCGGGGCAGCAUGGGGGUUGCUUGCAAUCCCCGAUGGCGACCGGCGCACGGGUGAGUAACGCGUAUCCAACCUGCCCUUCACCACGGGAUAACCCGGCGAAAGUCGGACUAAUACCGUAUGUUGUCCAUUGACGGCAUCCGAUUUGGACGAAAGGUUUGGCGGUGAAGGAUGGGGAUGCGUCCGAUUAGCUGGACGGCGGGGUGACGGCCCACCGUGGCGACGAUCGGUAGGGGUUCUGAGAGGAAGGUCCCCCACACUGGAACUGAGACACGGCCCAGACUCCUACGGGAGGCAGCAGUGAGGAAUAUUGGUCAAUGGGCGUAAGCCUGAACCAGCCAAGCAGCGUGCAGGAUGACGGCCCUAUGGGUUGUAAACUGCUUUUAUGCGGGGAUAAAGUGGCCCACGUGUGGGUUUUUGCAGGUACCGCAUGAAUAAGGACCGGCUAAUUCCGUG
Molecule: ribosomal RNA, 490 nt
Filed under: uncultured bacterium
Lineage: Bacteria
Description: partial 16S ribosomal RNA
Rfam family: Bacterial small subunit ribosomal RNA
Source: RNAcentral